RNAcentral lists this ribosomal RNA (459 nucleotides) under Hepatozoon canis. Its description in RNAcentral is "bacterial SSU rRNA". It matches the Rfam family "Eukaryotic small subunit ribosomal RNA", at positions 328 to 778 of the family's 1831-position model. The record is from RNAcentral. Lineage: Eukaryota; Apicomplexa; Hepatozoidae.
GUAUGGUAUUGGCUUACCGUGGCAGUGACGGUUAACGGGGGAUUAGGGUUCGAUUCCGGAGAGGGAGCCUGAGAAACGGCUACCACAUCUAAGGAAGGCAGCAGGCGCGCAAAUUACCCAAUUCUAACAGUUUGAGAGAGGUAGUAACAAGAAAUAACAAUACAAGGCAAUUAAAAUGCUUUGUAAUUGGAAUGAUAGAAAUUUAAACCCUUUUUAAAGUAUCAAUUGGAGGGCAAGUCUGGUGCCAGCAGCCGCGGUAAUUCCAGCUCCAAUAGCGUAUAUUAAAAUUGUUGCAGUUAAAAAGCUCGUAGUUGAAGUUCUGCUAAAAGUAACCGGUCUGCUUUUAAUAAAAGUGGUAUCUUGGUGUGUAUUUAGCAAUGAUGUCCUUUGAAGUGUUUUUUACUUUAUUGUAAUAAAGCAUAUUCAGGACUUUUACUUUGAGAAAAUUAGAGUGUUUCU